This 197-nucleotide ribosomal RNA is filed under the name Discoba sp. Its description in RNAcentral is "partial small subunit ribosomal RNA". It matches the Rfam family "Eukaryotic small subunit ribosomal RNA", at positions 1297 to 1461 of the family's 1831-position model. The record is from RNAcentral.
GUUGGUGAAUGUGAUUUGUCUGCUUAAUUGCGAUAACGAACGAGAUCUCUGCCAAUUACUAGAUGCUGCUUUCGCUGUAGGUUGGUGAAGCAGGCCAGGCUUCGGCCUAAUCCUGAUUCAUCACCGAGAAGGCAGAGCUUUUACUUAUUGGGAUUAUGCGUCUUCUAAACGCAUUGAAACGAGAGCCCAAAGCAGGU